GCCGUUAUCGUAUAGUGGUUAAUACAUUGCGUUGUGGCCGCAAUAACCCAGGUUCGAGUCCUGGUCACGGCA
Non-coding RNA from Nematostella vectensis (starlet sea anemone), 72 nucleotides. The record is from Rfam. Lineage: Eukaryota; Metazoa; Cnidaria; Anthozoa; Actiniaria; Edwardsiidae.